This is an RNA transcript of Lycium barbarum (goji berry), 3864 nucleotides long. It is a transcript of the gene named probable UDP-N-acetylglucosamine--peptide N-acetylglucosaminyltransferase SEC, with no coding region annotated. The transcript is spliced from 29 exons. NCBI's taxonomy places the organism in Eukaryota, Viridiplantae, Streptophyta, Magnoliopsida, Solanales, Solanaceae. The record is from RefSeq and is a predicted model, not a curated record.
GACCGCGAAUGUACUUAAAUUGGGAGGGAGGGAGUAUAUAUUUUCCUUCUCUCGCUACAGCCAAAUAAAAUUCCCAGUUCCUGCCACGAAAUCAAAUUCUUCAGUUUCCACUGAAUUUUUUUUUGGUGAAUUUGGUGUAUGUUGUGAAAUAACGAUGUUGUCUCUGCAAAGCGAUCCUCGGCAACAGUUAUUGAUCUCUAGGGUUUCACAUGAUGGCGUUAGUGUUGGCGAUCCGAGGACUGAUUCGUCUUUUCCCUUUUACUCCGAGUCAUCGUCUUUGUCCAACGUUAACAACAUCAAGUCCGAAUUGUCUCGAGAAGUUGAUGAGGACACACUUUUAACUCUUGCUCAUCAGAACUACAAAGGUGGAAACUAUAAACUGGCUCUAGAGCAUAGCAAGGCAGUUUAUGAGAGAAAUCCCCAACGCACUGAUAAUCUCCUUCUUUUGGGGGCCAUAUAUUAUCAAUUGCAUGAUUUUGAUAUGUGCAUUGCAAAAAAUGAAGAAGCCAUCCGCGUUAACCCACACUUUGCUGAGUGCUAUGGAAAUAUGGCAAAUGCUUGGAAGGAAAAAGACAAUAUCGAUGUUGCAAUACGCUAUUAUUUGAUUGCAAUAGAGCUGCGUCCCAAUUUUGCUGAUGCUUGGUCAAAUUUAGCUGGUGCAUAUAUGAGGAAAGGAAGGUUGAGUGAGGCCGCCCAAUGUUGUCGUCAGGCUCUAGCUUUAAAUCCUCGCCUGGUUGACGCACAUAGCAAUCUUGGGAAUCUGAUGAAAGCACAAGGUUUGGUGCAAGAGGCAUACAAUUGUUAUGUGGAGGCACUACGCAUACAACCUACAUUUGCCGUUGCAUGGUCCAAUCUUGCUAGCCUCUUGAUGGAUGCUGGUGAUCUUAACAGGGCAUUGCAGUACUACAAGGAAGCUGUCAAGCUAAAACCAAAUUUUUCAGAUGCAUAUUUGAACCUGGGAAAUGUGUACAAGGCUCUGGGAAUGCCACAGGAGGCCAUUAUGUGUUACCAGCGUGCUCUCCUUGUGCGACCAGACUAUGCUAUGGCUUUUGGCAACUUAGCUACUGUGUACUACGAACAAGGUAACCUGGAAAUGGCCAUGCUUAAUUACAAGAGAGCUAUUACCUGUGAUGCUGGAUUCUUGGAGGCAUAUAACAAUCUGGGUAAUGCUCUAAAAGACGCUGGUAGGGUUGAGGAAGCAAUUCACUGCUAUCGUCAAUGCCUCUCACUUCAACCUAAUCAUCCUCAAGCACUGACUAAUCUUGGAAACAUUUAUAUGGAGUGGAACAUGAUGAGUGCCGCUGCACAGUGUUACAAGGCAACUCUAGCUGUGACAACUGGGCUUUCAGCUCCUUUUAACAAUUUAGCCAUAAUAUACAAGCAGCAGGGUAACUAUGCAGAUGCCAUAUCUUGCUACAAUGAGGUGCUCAGGAUUGACCCCUUGGCAGCUGAUGGACUAGUCAAUAGAGGUAACACGUACAAGGAGAUUGGUAGAGUUAAUGAAGCUAUUCAGGACUAUAUGCGAGCUAUUACCAUUAGACCAAAUAUGGCAGAGGCUCAUGCAAAUUUGGCGUCAUCUUAUAAGGACAGUGGCAAUGUGGAAGCAGCUGUAAAAAGCUAUAGGCAAGCUUUAAUGCUACGUCCCGACUUCCCAGAAGCAACUUGUAAUCUUCUUCACACGUUACAGUGUAUCUGUGAUUGGGAUGAUCGAGAGAAGAUGUUUAUUGAAGUUGAGGGGAUCCUGAGAAGACAGAUUAAGAUGUCAGUUAUCCCGAGUGUACAGCCUUUCCAUGCAAUUGCUUACCCUCUCGAUCCACUGCUAGCUCUAGAAAUCAGUUGCAAGUAUGCCCAGCACUGCUCUGUAAUUGCAGCUCGCUUCUCACUUCCUCCUUUCAGUCAUCCUCCUCCAUUGCCAAUAAAGGGUGGUUGCAGGAGUGGUCGGCUUAGGGUUGGAUAUGUGAGCAGUGAUUUUGGCAACCACCCACUAUCACAUCUGAUGGGUUCGGUGUUCGGCAUGCACGACAGAGAAAAUGUUGAGGUGUUCUGCUAUGCUUUGAGUCCAAAUGAUGGCACUGAGUGGAGGCUCCGCAUUCAGUCAGAAGUAGAGCAUUUUGUUGAUGUAUCGUCCUUGACAUCUGAUGUGAUAGCUAGGAUGAUCAAUGAGGAUCAAAUACAGAUCCUGAUCAAUCUUAAUGGUUAUACUAAGGGAGCCCGAAAUGAGAUCUUUGCAAUGCAGCCUGCUCCCAUCCAGGUUUCAUAUAUGGGGUUCCCUGGAACCACUGGAGCUAACUAUAUACAUUAUUUGGUUACUGAUGAGUUUGUAUCACCCAUGCGGUACUCACAUAUUUACUCAGAGAAGCUUGUCCAUCUCCCUCACUGUUAUUUUGUCAAUGAUUAUAAGCAAAAAAACUGUGACGUGUUAGAUCCAAGCUGCCAACCCAGGCGCUCAGAUUAUGGGCUGCCAGAGGACAAAUUCAUUUUUGCUUGUUUUAAUCAGCUCUACAAGAUGGAUCCUGAGAUAUUUAAGACAUGGUGCAAUAUUCUUAAGCGUGUACCAAACAGUGCUCUUUGGCUGCUCAGAUUUCCAGCUGCAGGGGAAAUGAGGGUUCGCGCACAUGCUGCUGCGCAAGGUGUGCAGCCAGACCAAAUUAUUUUCACAGAUGUUGCGAUGAAACAAGAGCACAUCAGACGCAGCUCCUUGGCAGAUCUUUGCCUCGACACGCCACUUUGCAAUGCACAUACCACUGGAACGGAUGUACUUUGGGCUGGUCUACCUAUGGUCACCCUUCCCCUUGAGAAAAUGGCAACUAGAGUUGCUGGUUCGUUGUGUUUGGCCACAGGGGUUGGUGAGGAGAUGGUUGUUAGCAGUAUGAAGGAGUAUGAGGAGAAAGCAGUUUCACUGGCACUGAAUCGUCCCAAGCUCCAAGAUCUCACCAAUAGACUCAAGGCUGUGCGCCUGGGUUGCCCUCUGUUUGACACAGGACGCUGGGUACGGAACCUGGAGCGGUCUUAUUUUAAGAUGUGGAAUCUCUAUUGCUCUGGCCAACAUCCUCAGCCGUUCAAAGUGACAGAGAAUGACAUGGAAUUUCCUUAUGACCGCUAGAUGUAAAAAAGUAAUCUAAACGGGAUUGUAGAUAAAACAAAGAAAUGUGAAGAGCUAUUUAUUCUACAGGAGCUUCCUUGCUUUGCUCCCUUGGUGACCUGAGCCGUAACCUCAAAAUUGGAGGUGGAGGGUGCUUACCACUUAGCAACCCUCUCUUCUCCUAUCUUAUCUUGUGAUGUUGAGUUAUUAGUAGUAAUUAGAAUUUCCAUUCUUGCUGUCCAAAAGCCUCCAGCUUGCCCUUCUUCCAAGGUAAAGACGCAAUUACAUGACUGCACUAUGCCUUUGCCUAGAAAGACCCAAAAUGGUGAAGCAAUUACCCAAUGGUUCCAAAGAAAGGAUCAGCAUUCAGCUAUUCCCACUUGGGGUAUUCAGUUUGCAUUUUUGCGGAGGUGAAUGGUUCGUCUUGAUUGUAUUUGUUUAUCUAUAAGCAUUUGUUGAUGUUUACAACUUGACUUUAUGCAGGCCUUAGCUGAUGGAUGACCCUAGUAAAGUCAUUGAACAGCGAUUAAUUUGUUAGUUGAAAGAUGGUAGUGAGGGAGGUACACGUUUUCUCGAGAAUAUGGAAGUAAAGUGCGUGUGAAGCUUGUUAAUUGAAAUUAAAAGAUGCAGGUAUAGUAGUGACUAAAAUAAAACAGAAUGAUGCUUUUGGAUUGUAAUUUAGAAGGGCUUGGCAGAUCUUAGAUUUAGUCUUGUAAUGGCAGAUCUCAUAUUUAAGUUCUUGAAUAGCGAGGGUUAUGCGUAAACAAUAGUUUUUCCACAAA